CAAGAAAUAACAAUACGGGGCUUAAAGUCUUGUAAUUGGAAUGAUGGGAAUUUAAACCUCUUCCAGAGUAUCAAUUGGAGGGCAAGUCUGGUGCCAGCAGCCGCGGUAAUUCCAGCUCCAAUAGCGUAUAUUAAAAUUGUUGCAGUUAAAAAGCUCGUAGUUGAAUUUCUGCUGCAUUGCUUGUGUCCCUCCGGGGUCUGUGCAUGUGGCUUUUUUCGGACGGAGUUUUCUUGUCUGAAUGUUUACUUUGAGAAAAUUAGAGUGCUCAAAGCAGGCUUUUGCCUUGAA
RNAcentral lists this ribosomal RNA (288 nucleotides) under Theileria lestoquardi. Its description in RNAcentral is "partial small subunit ribosomal RNA". It matches the Rfam family "Eukaryotic small subunit ribosomal RNA", at positions 471 to 799 of the family's 1831-position model. Lineage: Eukaryota; Apicomplexa; Aconoidasida; Piroplasmida; Theileriidae. The record is from RNAcentral.